UACAGGGGGGGCAAGCGUUGUUCGGAAUUACUGGGCGUAAAGGGCUCGUAGGCGGCCAACUAAGUCACACGUGAAAUCCCCAGGCUCAACCUGGGAACUGCGUGUGAUACUGGAUGGCUUGAAUUCGGGAGAGGGAUGCAGAAUUCCAGGUGUAGCGGUGAAAUGCGUCGAUAUCUGGAGGAAUACCGGUGGCGAAGGCGGCAUCCUGGACCGACAUUGACGCUGAUGAGCGAAAGCUAGGGGAGCAAACGGG
RNAcentral lists this ribosomal RNA (253 nucleotides) under uncultured bacterium. RNAcentral describes it as "partial 16S ribosomal RNA". It matches the Rfam family "Bacterial small subunit ribosomal RNA", at positions 524 to 776 of the family's 1533-position model. The record is from RNAcentral.